UACGAAGGGGGCUAGCGUUGCUCGGAAUCACUGGGCGUAAAGCGCACGUAGGCGGAUCUUUAAGUCAGGGGUGAAAUCCUGGAGCUCAACUCCAGAACUGCCUUUGAUACUGGGGAUCUCGAGUCCGGAAGAGGUGAGUGGAACUCCGAGUGUAGAGGUGAAAUUCGUAGAUAUUGGGAAGAACACCAGUGGCGAAGGCGGCUCACUGGCCCGUAACUGACGCUGAGGUGCGAAAGCGUGGGGAGCAAACAGG
This 253-nucleotide ribosomal RNA is filed under the name uncultured bacterium. RNAcentral's name for it is "partial 16S ribosomal RNA". It matches the Rfam family "Bacterial small subunit ribosomal RNA", at positions 524 to 776 of the family's 1533-position model. The record is from RNAcentral.